Molecule: non-coding RNA, 117 nt
Organism: Brachypodium distachyon (stiff brome)
Lineage: Eukaryota; Viridiplantae; Streptophyta; Magnoliopsida; Poales; Poaceae
Source: Rfam
ACAGUACUCCCUCCGUUCCAUAAUUCUUGUCAAAAUAUAUCCAGACAUUUUUAAUGAUAGAUACAUCCAUUUUUAGACAAAUUUAAGACAAAAAUUAUGGAACGGAGGGAGUAGUUU